AGGUUGACCUCGGAUCAGGUAGGGAUACCCGCUGAACUUAAGCAUAUCAAUAAGCGGAGGAAAAGAAACCAACAGGGAUUGCCCCAGUAACGGCGAGUGAAGCGGCAAGAGCUCAAAUUUGAAAGCUGGCCCCCUCGGGGUCCGCAUUGUAAUUUGCAGAGGAUGCUUCGGGAGCGGUCCCCAUCUAAGUACCCUGGAACGGGUCGUCAUAGAGGGUGAGAAUCCCGUAUGGGAUGGGGUGUCCGCGCCCGUGUGAAGCUCCUUCGACGAGUCGAGUUGUUUGGGAAUGCAGCUCUAAAUGGGUGGUAAAUUUCAUCUAAAGCUAAAUAUUGGCCGGAGACCGAUAGCGCACAAGUAGAGUGAUCGAAAGAUGAAAAGCACUUUGAAAAGAGAGUUAAAAAGCACGUGAAAUUGUUGAAAGGGAAGCGCUUGCGACCAGACUCGCCCACGGGGUUCAGCCGGCAUUCGUGCCGGUGUACUUCCCCGCGGGCGGGCCAGCGUCGGUUUGGGCGGCCGGUCAAAGGCCCUCGGAAUGUAACGCCCCUCGGGGCGUCUUAUAGCCGAGGGUGCCAUGCGGCCUGCCCGGACCGAGGAACGCGCUUCGGCUCGGACGCUGGCAUAAUGGUCGUAAGCGACC
This 637-nucleotide ribosomal RNA is filed under the name Penicillium cinnamopurpureum. Its description in RNAcentral is "eukaryotic LSU rRNA". It matches the Rfam family "Eukaryotic large subunit ribosomal RNA", at positions 1 to 649 of the family's 3401-position model. The record is from RNAcentral. Lineage: Eukaryota; Fungi; Ascomycota; Eurotiomycetes; Eurotiales; Aspergillaceae.